This 1550-nucleotide ribosomal RNA is filed under the name Klebsiella pneumoniae. RNAcentral describes it as "16S ribosomal RNA". It matches the Rfam family "Bacterial small subunit ribosomal RNA". The record is from RNAcentral. Lineage: Bacteria; Pseudomonadati; Pseudomonadota; Gammaproteobacteria; Enterobacterales; Enterobacteriaceae.
AAAUUGAAGAGUUUGAUCAUGGCUCAGAUUGAACGCUGGCGGCAGGCCUAACACAUGCAAGUCGAGCGGUAGCACAGAGAGCUUGCUCUCGGGUGACGAGCGGCGGACGGGUGAGUAAUGUCUGGGAAACUGCCUGAUGGAGGGGGAUAACUACUGGAAACGGUAGCUAAUACCGCAUAAUGUCGCAAGACCAAAGUGGGGGACCUUCGGGCCUCAUGCCAUCAGAUGUGCCCAGAUGGGAUUAGCUAGUAGGUGGGGUAACGGCUCACCUAGGCGACGAUCCCUAGCUGGUCUGAGAGGAUGACCAGCCACACUGGAACUGAGACACGGUCCAGACUCCUACGGGAGGCAGCAGUGGGGAAUAUUGCACAAUGGGCGCAAGCCUGAUGCAGCCAUGCCGCGUGUGUGAAGAAGGCCUUCGGGUUGUAAAGCACUUUCAGCGGGGAGGAAGGCGGUGAGGUUAAUAACCUCAUCGAUUGACGUUACCCGCAGAAGAAGCACCGGCUAACUCCGUGCCAGCAGCCGCGGUAAUACGGAGGGUGCAAGCGUUAAUCGGAAUUACUGGGCGUAAAGCGCACGCAGGCGGUCUGUCAAGUCGGAUGUGAAAUCCCCGGGCUUAACCUGGGAACUGCAUUCGAAACUGGCAGGCUAGAGUCUUGUAGAGGGGGGUAGAAUUCCAGGUGUAGCGGUGAAAUGCGUAGAGAUCUGGAGGAAUACCGGUGGCGAAGGCGGCCCCCUGGACAAAGACUGACGCUCAGGUGCGAAAGCGUGGGGAGCAAACAGGAUUAGAUACCCUGGUAGUCCACGCCGUAAACGAUGUCGAUUUGGAGGUUGUGCCCUUGAGGCGUGGCUUCCGGAGCUAACGCGUUAAAUCGACCGCCUGGGGAGUACGGCCGCAAGGUUAAAACUCAAAUGAAUUGACGGGGGCCCGCACAAGCGGUGGAGCAUGUGGUUUAAUUCGAUGCAACGCGAAGAACCUUACCUGGUCUUGACAUCCACAGAACUUAGCAGAGAUGCUUUGGUGCCUUCGGGAACUGUGAGACAGGUGCUGCAUGGCUGUCGUCAGCUCGUGUUGUGAAAUGUUGGGUUAAGUCCCGCAACGAGCGCAACCCUUAUCCUUUGUUGCCAGCGGUCCGGCCGGGAACUCAAAGGAGACUGCCAGUGAUAAACUGGAGGAAGGUGGGGAUGACGUCAAGUCAUCAUGGCCCUUACGACCAGGGCUACACACGUGCUACAAUGGCAUAUACAAAGAGAAGCGACCUCGCGAGAGCAAGCGGACCUCAUAAAGUAUGUCGUAGUCCGGAUUGGAGUCUGCAACUCGACUCCAUGAAGUCGGAAUCGCUAGUAAUCGUAGAUCAGAAUGCUACGGUGAAUACGUUCCCGGGCCUUGUACACACCGCCCGUCACACCAUGGGAGUGGGUUGCAAAAGAAGUAGGUAGCUUAACCUUCGGGAGGGCGCUUACCACUUUGUGAUUCAUGACUGGGGUGAAGUCGUAACAAGGUAACCGUAGGGGAACCUGCGGUUGGAUCACCUCCUUACCUUAAAGAA